This 670-nucleotide ribosomal RNA is filed under the name uncultured fungus. RNAcentral describes it as "eukaryotic LSU rRNA". It matches the Rfam family "Eukaryotic large subunit ribosomal RNA", at positions 24 to 664 of the family's 3401-position model. Lineage: Eukaryota; Fungi. The record is from RNAcentral.
CCCGCUGAACUUAAGCAUAUCAAUAAGCGGAGGAAAAGAAACUAACAAGGAUUCCCCUAGUAACUGCGAGUGAAGCGGGAAAAGCUCAAAUUUAAAAUCUGGUGGUCUCUGGCCGUCCGAGUUGUAAUUUAGAGAAGCGUCUUCCGCGCUGGACCGUGCACAAGUCUCCUGGAAUGGAGCGUCGUAGAGGGCGAGAAUCCCGUCUUUGGCACCGAAGCCCCAGGGCUUCUGUGAUGCGCUCUCGAAGAGUCGAGUUGUUUGGGAAUGCAUCUCAAAAUGGGUGGUGAUCUCCGUCUACAGCUAAAUAUUGGCGAGAGACCGAUAGCGAACAAGUACCGUGAGGGAAAGAUGAAAAGCACUUUGGAAAGAGAGUGAAACAGUACGUGAAAUUGUUGAAAGGAAAACGCUUGAAGUCAGUCGCGUCGCACGAGACUCAGCCUCGCCUCGGCUUGGUGUACUUCUCGGCCGACGGGUCAGCAUCAAUUUUGCCCCUUGGAUAAUGGCGAGGGAAAUGUGACACCUUUACAGGUGUGUCAUAGGUGCAUACUCGUCUCAUGCAAAGGUGCGAGAUCGUGGGCUUCUGCACGCUCCUUUAGACGUAGGGGUUCGCCCACGAUACAUGCUUAGGAUGUUGGCAUAAUGGCUUUAAACGACCCGUCUUGAAACACAG